Molecule: ribosomal RNA, 274 nt
Filed under: uncultured bacterium
Lineage: Bacteria
Description: partial 16S ribosomal RNA
Rfam family: Bacterial small subunit ribosomal RNA
Source: RNAcentral
AUACGGAGGGUGCGAGCGUUAAUCGGAAUUACUGGGCGUAAAGCGUGCGGAGGCGGUUUGUUAAGUCAGAAGUGAAAGCCCUGGGCUCAACCUGGGAACGGCUUUUGAGACUGGCAGACUAGAGUUGAGUAGAGGGGAGUGGAAUUUCCGGUGUAGCGGUGAAAUGCGUAGAGAUCGGAAGGAACACCAGUGGCGAAGGCGACUCCCUGGACUCAAACUGACGCUGAGGUACGAAAGCGUGGGUAGCAAACAGGAUUAGAUACCCUAGUAGUCC